RNAcentral lists this ribosomal RNA (216 nucleotides) under uncultured bacterium. RNAcentral describes it as "partial 16S ribosomal RNA". It matches the Rfam family "Bacterial small subunit ribosomal RNA", at positions 118 to 351 of the family's 1533-position model. The record is from RNAcentral.
UGGGAACCUUCCCUAUGGUUCGGAAUAGCCCAGGGAAACUUGGGGUAAUACCGGAUAAGCCCUUCGGGGGAAAGAUUUAUCGCCAUUGGAUGGGCCCGCGUCGGAUUAGCUAGUUGGUGAGGUAACGGCUCACCAAGGCAACGAUUCGUAGCUGGUCUGAGAGGAUGAUCAGCCGCACUGGGACUGAGACACGGCCCAGACUCCUACGGGAGGCAG